GCGCCAUCUGCCGAUUACCUCGGUCAGGAAUAUACAGUACAUACUAUGAAAACAAAAGUGUCAAGCAAUUGUCAAAUUUUCAUGCACGCGACAUCAGCUGUCAACAAAGUCAAGAUAAUAUAAGAUGGCUGAGAAUGAAUUAGUGUCCGAUACCGACGAGUACCUCGUUACAGAAGCUAUUAAUUUAGAUAUCGAGGAGUUAGAUAAUACAGAAUAUGCCAUACCAGCUGUGGAGGAAUUACCCACCUUGGAGAGUAUAUUGAUGGAACCCGAUUAUGAAUCGCUAUCAGAAACGGAUGAUGAUGUUGGCAUACCGUUGGAAGAGAAACUUGGCAGUAGCGAAACAACCAGCAUCGGUAGUCAUCUAUCAUUAAAUUCGUUGAACAAAUCUUCCAAGAUCUCUCAGAAAUCGCCCACGGGUGUUAUUUUAAGGCACGUCAUACUCAAAGGAAUCACAUCACAAAUUAUAUCUGCCAAUGAGAGAGUCAAUGCUGGUUUAGCGAGUGCAGUUGCGGCUGGAGGCAAUAUGUUGGUAAUUGGCACUAGCCAUGGUUUGAUAUUGGGCUUUGACCUGUCACAAACGUUACGUUGGUGCGAUCAGGAGGCGAGACAUCAGGGUUCAGUCUCUGCUCUUUGCUUUAAUUACGAGGGCAACAGAGUGCUAGCUGGUUUUGUCAGAGGACAUGUAUUAAUGUUAGAUAGCAGUAACGGAAAAGUUUUAAGGAUUCUUACUGAUGUACACCCACUUGACACUGCUGUAUUACAUGUUAAGUUUACAGAUUCACCAAAAAUAGCUUUAUGUAGCGAUAGUGGCGGCUCGGUGUUCGAAUUGAAUUUUACCAGAGUGAUGGGUGUGAGAGGUUGUGAUAGUAGAUGCUUAUUUAGCGGUUCUAAAGGAGAGGUAUGCACUCUAGAACCAUUGCUACUGAAUCACCUGCCCUCGCAUCCGUUGAAGAAUUAUACCUUGGUAGCGAUGGCAACGUUAUCAAAGGUCAUUGUAGUUUGCAUAAGGCCACGAAUGCGUGUUGUACUAAGUCAUCCUUUGACCGGUGCCCCGACGGCACCACCGCAAGUGUCUUGGCAGUUAGUUGUCAUACAGGCAGCUGAUGGAUCUCGUGUGAUCGAUCCAGUAUUGGCACUCGCAAGGGACAACGUGGUGCACUUUUAUCAGGUGUACACUGAGGUUGGUUCGCGGGUAAAAUUAUCUCCUCUGCAGAGGAUAACGCUACCAUACACGAUAAGCAAUUUGAGAUGGCUAAAUCCAAGGUCUCUUAUAGUAUUGGACAGUCAGGAGAAGCUACAUUUGUUGGACGUGAGAGCACAGGAUAAUUUGGAGACGUUGGAUAUGAGUCGUGUUGCUAUUUCUUAUGCUUCUAGUCACUUUAAAGGAUUGUCCACUGGCGGCAAUGUCUCCAAGGCAAUGGCAUUGGCUGGUGAACGAGCGUGCUACAAUACCGUCGUGGUUUUCGGUGCGCAGCUAUUGUUAUUAGGUAUAAAGAGUUUACAUACGAUCUGCAUAAGAACAUGGACGGAAAGAUUGCAACACUUGAUCAUGCAGAAACGGUUUCCUGAAGCGUUAGCACUCGGCCUUUCCUUUUAUCAAGAUAAAGGCAAAGCGGUUAUCGGUCUCCGUGGUUCCAAGCAACGUCGCAAGCAAAUAGCGCGCGACAAAGUCUGCCACGUACUGAUCGAGUAUAUGGACGAAUUGAAUCACUGUCUCGUAGAUGAGAAUGUAGAUUAUGAUACCAUGGUACUAACUUGCGUCAAUUACUGCAUCCAACUAGAAAGUUUAGAUCUACUUUUUGGAAAACUGUGGGACAUAGUUUUCGAAUCGGAAGACUUGAAAGUGAGUUACUUGCAUGCCCUCGAGGCUCCUCUGUUGGAUGGAAGUCUCCAACCGAGACUGCCGCCAUUGAUCGCCCAACAAUUGGUUACUCUGUACGAUCAAGAGGACAGAGUCGAUUCGCUGGAGGCGAUCAUAGUUCUGCUCAACGUGGAUUGUUUAGAUAUUCAUCAAGUAACGACAGUUUGCCGUCAACGAGGACUUUGGGAAGCACUGAUUCAUCUCCAGACGACCGCAUUGGGUGAUUUCACGGCGCCAAUUCAUCAGUUGGUACCGGUACUCCAAAAUUUAUUACGCGAGUCAGCAGUUAAUCUUUCACGAGACUGCAUAAAACUCGGCAAUGCCAUUCUGGUUUAUACCAGUUGUUGCCUCGCCGGUCGUGGAUUUCACAAGGAUGAACUUCCCGAGGGCAUGCCGCAAAAAGCGAAAGCAGACACGCUAAGAGCUCUACUGUCCCAACAUUCGAGCCUAGCGAAUGACGCGGAAAGACAAUAUCCAUAUCUGAGAACGUUGCUGCAGUUCGACGCUAAGGGCUUUCUCGAUGUUAUAGCUAUCGCCUUUCAGGAGCCGGAAUUUAUUUCUGAAAUGGGCUUACGGCACCGACAAAGGCUCAUAGAUAUUUUGUUGAACAUUGUUAUGCCGAAUACACCAGUCAGCCCAAAGAGUAUGGAUUACAUCACGAUAGAGCAGCAAUUUAUGGUUCUUAUGUUCGUGGCAAACGAGUUGUCUGAAAGUACUAUUACGUUGGAGCCUAGUGUGUUGAGUAGAAUGAUAGACCUAUUAUGCAUUGAUUCGCAUAUAGAAUUGUUGAAAGAUUAUAAGACUGAGAGAGAAAGUGCCGUGUUGGCGUUACUGCAUUCUAAAAAGCUGUGCAAUAUUUCUGAUAAUACUUUACUAAAUUUAGCGAAUAGGGCAGGCUUCGUAAGAGUCGCCGAGUUAUUGUACAGCGCACGAGAAGAUUGGGUAGCGGUGUGUAAAUGUAUGAUCUCAGAGUCGUCCAGGCAUCAUGAUGUGUGGCCCUGGCUAGAGCAUUUGUCACCUGCCUCGUUAGAACACGUUAUAUCCGUUCACAUCUCGACUCUCGUGACGAUCAACGCCAAUCAGUUUGCUACGAUCAUUGCUACGCAACAACUGCAGAACAAAAUUGAUGCGAUACUACAAAAGCUCAAUGGUGAUUUAAACUUGGAGUAUAAGCUGCUAGGAGCAUUGUAUCAAAUCGCGCAGUAUAAAGAGGAGGACAUUUCUCUGGAAUUAACAACUGACCAGCUGGAGAGAUAUUUAAUGUUGAUGUGCGAAUUGGAGCCGAUGCGAGUGGUCGUUCAUUUGCACGGGCCGCAUGGCUGCAGAUUGGACGAGGCACUGAAGAUUGUUCAAAGGUGGAAUUGUAAGGAUGCGGAGGCAGUAAUGUUAGAGAAGCUGGGCAGUUAUCAAGAAGCGUUUAAUCUUUUGCUGAAAGAAUUUGAGAAUCGGCUGGAGAUGUAUCGAGAAAAUAAAAUCUCGGAGAGCGAGACGGUGCAUGCUGCUGGACAGCUCGCGGGGAUAUGUCGAAGAUCAGCAGGAAAUGUAGAUUGGAUGCCUCUUGUGGAAGCUGUAUUUCGAUCGCACACAUGGAACAAUAAACAAAAUACGGACAACUUGAGUGGCAAAUUGUUGAGAUUAAUUCUGGAAUCUUUGAGCGGAACGUCAAUCCUAUCGAACAUACUUGAGCAAAUCCUACGAAAUCCACUGGCGACAAGUGGCACGAUAGGGGAUAUACGGCAAUUGCUGGCUGGAGUUCUCACUCAAUCACGAUAUGAACAAACUCUGGUCGAAACUACCGCACGAUUAGUGAGCUUAGAACUUCAUAAGGCUUUGGAAAAAUCCUUAAGUGAUUCUUUUGCCGUUCAGGGACGCUGGAAGAGCAUAUGGCAACAUUUCCACGAUCUGUCCCGUGUGCAGGCAACCGCUAUCACACUGUUCCGACUACGUGGUGAUGUUCAGCUGCGGUCACGGAUAUCACUCAACGUGUCUAAGUGAAACUAAAUCAUGUUACAAAUGCUUGAACACGAAAGGAUGGGCACCUAUCGCUACUAAUAUCGCACAUGCUGCUCCUGAACCACCACUGAGAAAGAAACAGCUUCUUCCGCCAGAAUUCCUGCGUCACAAAGAUCUCACGUUAAGACUGGCGCCGCCCUGUUCCAUUCCCGACCUCGAGGGUAUCUUUUAAUCUGAGAGUAGUCUUCGACUAUCUUCGACGAUCGCGUUUGUUUGAACGGUACGUAAUACCUUAGGAUAUAUCAAAACGUGAAUGUAUAUAUAGUACGUUACAUGCGCUAUAUCGGAUUUUGGCACUAUGAUCAACCUGUUUGCGAUACAUUGUAUAGUACUAAUAAGAAAUUAUUAAAUUCCAUUUCUCGAAAUUUUAUUUGUUCAACGCGCGCUGAUGUUUGCGACACGCACGUUGCCAAAAGUUAUUACUGAAAUACAAAAUAUC
This is an RNA transcript of Ooceraea biroi (clonal raider ant), 4316 nucleotides long. It is a transcript of the gene named vacuolar protein sorting 8, with no coding region annotated. Lineage: Eukaryota; Metazoa; Arthropoda; Insecta; Hymenoptera; Formicidae. The record is from RefSeq and is a predicted model, not a curated record.